UACGUAGGGGGCUAGCGUUGUCCGGAAUCAUUGGGCGUAAAGAGCGUGUAGGCGGUCCGGUAAGUCCGCUGUGAAAGUCGGGGGCUCAACCCUCGAAUGCCGGUGGAUACUGUCGGGCUAGAGUACGGAAGAGGCGAGUGGAAUUCCUGGUGUAGCGGUGAAAUGCGCAGAUAUCAGGAGGAACACCGGUGGCGAAGGCGGUUCUCUGGGCCUUACCUGACGCUGAGGAGCGAAAGCGUGGGGAGCAAACGGG
This 253-nucleotide ribosomal RNA is filed under the name uncultured bacterium. Its description in RNAcentral is "partial 16S ribosomal RNA". It matches the Rfam family "Bacterial small subunit ribosomal RNA", at positions 524 to 776 of the family's 1533-position model. The record is from RNAcentral.